RNAcentral lists this ribosomal RNA (637 nucleotides) under Priestia megaterium. RNAcentral's name for it is "bacterial SSU rRNA". It matches the Rfam family "Bacterial small subunit ribosomal RNA", at positions 55 to 674 of the family's 1533-position model. Lineage: Bacteria; Bacillati; Bacillota; Bacilli; Caryophanales; Bacillaceae. The record is from RNAcentral.
AUGCAGUCGAGCGAACUGAUUAGAAGCUUGCUUCUAUGACGUUAGCGGCGGACGGGUGAGUAACACGUGGGCAACCUGCCUGUAAGACUGGGAUAACUUCGGGAAACCGAAGCUAAUACCGGAUAGGAUCUUCUCCUUCAUGGGAGAUGAUUGAAAGAUGGUUUCGGCUAUCACUUACAGAUGGGCCCGCGGUGCAUUAGCUAGUUGGUGAGGUAACGGCUCACCAAGGCAACGAUGCAUAGCCGACCUGAGAGGGUGAUCGGCCACACUGGGACUGAGACACGGCCCAGACUCCUACGGGAGGCAGCAGUAGGGAAUCUUCCGCAAUGGACGAAAGUCUGACGGAGCAACGCCGCGUGAGUGAUGAAGGCUUUCGGGUCGUAAAACUCUGUUGUUAGGGAAGAACAAGUACAAGAGUAACUGCUUGUACCUUGACGGUACCUAACCAGAAAGCCACGGCUAACUACGUGCCAGCAGCCGCGGUAAUACGUAGGUGGCAAGCGUUAUCCGGAAUUAUUGGGCGUAAAGCGCGCGCAGGCGGUUUCUUAAGUCUGAUGUGAAAGCCCACGGCUCAACCGUGGAGGGUCAUUGGAAACUGGGGAACUUGAGUGCAGAAGAGAAAAGCGGAAUUCCACGU